GGGGAUGUGGCUUAGUGGUAGAGUGCGUGCCUAGCAUGCAUGAAGCCUUGGGUUCAAUUCCUUAGUACCACA
This is a non-coding RNA of Dipodomys ordii (Ord's kangaroo rat), 72 nucleotides long. NCBI's taxonomy places the organism in Eukaryota, Metazoa, Chordata, Mammalia, Rodentia, Heteromyidae. The record is from Rfam.